RNAcentral lists this long non-coding RNA (1473 nucleotides) under Homo sapiens (human). Its description in RNAcentral is "HSALNT0287001". Lineage: Eukaryota; Metazoa; Chordata; Mammalia; Primates; Hominidae. The record is from RNAcentral.
GGAGCUUCUCCUGCCUUGUUCCUGCCUGACUAGCUGCCUACUUUAACAUUUUUAACGAUAAAGAAUGUGAGUUCCAUGAGGAAGAGGGCAGGGAUCUUGAUUUUGUUCCCUGCUGUAUUCCCAAGGUGUAGAAUGAAGACUGACACAUAACCAUGCCUGCUUUCUCUUCACCUUCCACCAUGAUUGGUAGUUUCCUGAGGCCUCCCCAGCCAUGUCCCCUGUACAGCCUGUGGAACUGGGAGCAGCUGCAAAGGAACACCACAAUGAUAUUCCACUGGAAAAAGGGCCAAACCACCUGAUCAUAAGAACAUCUUAUCAAUAUCCUCCUGGGCAGCAAGCCAUACUGCCCAGCUCCCUCCCACCCAUACCUCAGCUGCAACCAGGAUCACCCCCAUUGCUGGACAUCACAUCCAACACUGGGCUUCAAUUCGUGGGGGCUCUUCGUCUUCUCCCCAUUGGUGCUGGAAGUUGGCUGUUCCAUGAUUCUGGUUGGUUGUAGAAUGUCUAUAGUAGGCUCCUGUAGACUGCAGACUUCCACAGCUAUGUUGAAGCUUCCCAGUGGGAUGUCCCAGAGCUCUUGCCCUCCCUAUAUAUACCCUCCUGGUGACAAGGCAAAGCCACACCCUUGAGCUUUGUUUGAUCAUACAGGCAGUGUCCCAGCCAAUGGCGGUCCUAAGGUGGCUUUGACAUCACAAAGCCCCACUGCUGACCACUCCUUGGGCUUGUGGGGGAGGGGUGACAGGGAUGUAGAGGAAACCAAAUGCGGUUGUUGUUUCAGCAUCCCCUGAAGAUGCAUCCCAAACCGAUCUGCCGCCGCUCCUCAUUUCUCCAUGUUUAAUGUUCAUGGUUCACAUGGAAGUCAGAGGAUGAUUCCUUCAAGCCCUUCCCCACAGCCAUUCCUAUGAAGUGAUUCAUUCUUUUGUCUUCCAGCCCUCACCAUGACUUAGUAUUUUAGAUGUCUCACCUCAAAUCCCCCAAGCUAGUGUGGCUACAUUUAAUUAUUAGUUAUUAAUUACUAGUUACAUUUAAUAAUUAAUAAUUAAUUAUCCCAUUUCCCUCCUACAGUUCCUUCAUAUGCACCUUGAAGACCAUUUACUUUUAGGCUACUGCCAGGCAAAUUUCAACCCAUGUUAUUUUACUCAAUGUCCGUGUAGUUCUUUUAAAUUUCCUAUUUCCAAUCUGCAAUAAUGGCCUUCAGUCUGUCAAAAUUUUAGUGAAUAAACAUUCUUUACUGUGUAUCCUAGUCUUGUUUCAAAUGAGGGGUGUAUUUUCAUAGUAAAUGUAGUCUCCCAACAUGAAUUCUGCCAGUAUGUGGGUGGGGGAAGGAGUGGAUAUUCAAGUGCUGGAAGUUGUUCUCAGUGUUUACAUGCAGGAUGCUACAAUCUAAGACCCACAUGUGCACCAGUAUGGGCAUAGUUAUACUUUGUACUGAAGAUUGUGUCCAGUGCAAAAAGAAAAAUGCAUUCAGUUUGG